CUGAAUUACAUAGGAACUUGUCCUGGGAAUUGCAUAUGUACUUGAGUAUAAAAGAACUUCCCCCUACCACAGAAGAAGGAAUCAGUCUGUUAAACCAGAUCCCAAGAAGGCUUCAGGGCGGGACACACAGGUGCACCCAGGUCUCUCCCCCACCCUUAUGGGGACUUGAUGUUGAGAUGAAACAUUUUAGAAGCAAUGUAGCUGCUGAGACUUUGUGAAGGGCAGGUUGACACCCGCCAAGAAUUUCAUAAAGAAUAUUAAUUAAUUGGCUCAGUUCUCCAGGAGAGAGGCUCCCAGGCCUGCGUGAUGCUAACAGGGUGUGACUUCAUAAGCAAACCUGUUCUACCAGCUCUAGAUAGACAGUAGAUUCUUUUAGUUUAAGACUUUCAUUCCUGACAAAA
This is a long non-coding RNA of Herpailurus yagouaroundi (jaguarundi), 401 nucleotides long. RefSeq lists it as uncharacterized. The transcript is spliced from 3 exons. The record is from RefSeq and is a predicted model, not a curated record. NCBI's taxonomy places the organism in Eukaryota, Metazoa, Chordata, Mammalia, Carnivora, Felidae.